AAAGGGCCGCGGUAAUUUGACCGUGCAAAGGUAGCAUAGUCAUUAGCUUUUUAAUUGAAAGCUGGAAUGAAUGGCUAGAUGAGAAGUUAGCUGUCUUUUUAUAUAAGAAGAAAUUAACCUUUAAGUGAAAAGGCUUAAAUUUAUUGGGGGGACGAUAAGACCCUGUAAAACUUAUAUAUUUUGUUUUACUAAGGUGUAAAAUUUGGUUUAAGUUAUUUAGUGUAAGGGAUAUUUUGUUGGGGAGACACAGACAUAAAUUAAUACUAACUGUUUGUAAGAAUUUUAUAAUUUUGUUUAGAUUUAGAUCCUUUUGUAGAGAUUAAAAGAGGAAGUUACUUCAGGGAUAACAGCGUAAUUCUCUUUGAGAGUUCCUAUCGACAAGAGUAGUUGCGACCUCGAUGUUGAAUUAAGGUUUCAGAAAGGUGUAGCCG
RNAcentral lists this ribosomal RNA (431 nucleotides) under Periclimenes rectirostris. RNAcentral describes it as "partial 16S ribosomal RNA". It matches the Rfam family "Bacterial large subunit ribosomal RNA", at positions 1925 to 2561 of the family's 2925-position model. Lineage: Eukaryota; Metazoa; Arthropoda; Malacostraca; Decapoda; Palaemonidae. The record is from RNAcentral.